Molecule: ribosomal RNA, 506 nt
Filed under: uncultured Verrucomicrobiota bacterium
Lineage: Bacteria; Pseudomonadati; Verrucomicrobiota
Description: bacterial SSU rRNA
Rfam family: Bacterial small subunit ribosomal RNA
Source: RNAcentral
GCGUGAAGGAUGAAGGUCUUCGGAUCGUAAACUUCUGUCAUUGGUGAACAAGGCCCACACAGUAACUGGUGUUGGGAUUGAUAGUAGCCGAAGAGGAAGAGGCGGCUAACUCUGUGCCAGCAGCCGCGGUAAUACAGAGGCCUCAAGCGUUGUUCGGAUUCAUUGGGCGUAAAGGGUGCGUAGGUGGCGAGGCAAGUCAGGUGUGAAAUCCCGGGGCUCAACCCUGGAACUGCACUUGAUACUACUUUGCUUGAGUACUGGAGAGGAGAUUGGAAUUUACGGUGUAGCAGUGAAAUGCGUAGAUAUCGUAAGGAAGACCAGUGGCGAAGGCGAAUCUCUGGACAGUUACUGACACUGAGGCACGAAGGCCAGGGGAGCAAACGGGAUUAGAUACCCCGGUAGUCCUGGCAGUAAACGGUGCGCGUUUGGUGUGGGAGGAAUCGACCCCUUCCGUGCCGGAGCUAACGCGUUAAACGCGCCGCCUGGGGAGUACGGUCGCAAGAUUA